Molecule: ribosomal RNA, 290 nt
Filed under: uncultured bacterium
Lineage: Bacteria
Description: partial 16S ribosomal RNA
Rfam family: Bacterial small subunit ribosomal RNA
Source: RNAcentral
CAACGCCGCGUGAGGGAUGAAGGCCUCUGGGCUGUAAACCUCUUUUAUCAAGGAAGAAGAUCUGACGGUACUUGAUGAAUAAGCCACGGCUAAUUCCGUGCCAGCAGCCGCGGUAAUACGGGAGUGGCAAGCGUUAUCCGGAAUUAUUGGGCGUAAAGCGUCCGCAGGCGGUCUUGAAAGUCUGUUGUUAAAGCGUGGAGCUCAACUCCAUUUCAGCAAUGGAAACUAGAAGACUAGAGUGUGGUAGGGGCUGAGGGAAUUCCCGGUGUAGCGGUGAAAUGCGUAGAUAU